Molecule: ribosomal RNA, 133 nt
Filed under: uncultured bacterium
Lineage: Bacteria
Description: partial 16S ribosomal RNA
Source: RNAcentral
UCAUAAGGUACCGUCAACUGCACAUGAAUGCACAGAAUUCUUCCCAAAUAAAAGCAGUUUACAACCACUAGGGCCGUCAUCCUGCACGCGGGAUGGCUGGAUCAGGCUUUCGCCCAUUGUCCAAUAUUCCUUA